UUACCAGUGGCAACGCAUGUUGGAGGCGGUACCCGGAGAGAGAGAGGCUGCUGCUUCUGCAAGCUCCGGUGGGCAAUUUGGGAAAAUUAAGCUCUUACCUGUUUCUGAUCAAGAAAAUUAAUGAUUCGCAUGGGCUGUCAUCAAUUGAGCAUGGAUGGACAAAAAGGAUUCAUCUGAAAGACACACAAACAAGGGAAAUCCUAAACUGGACAAAAAGUAGACGCAGUUUUGGAGAGCACAUCAGCCUGCAAGAGGAAGGCACACGGACAGCUUCUCCUUCAGCUGUCUGCUCGAUCCAGCUUUUUAUGCAUUUUCUAAUAUAAUGUGGAGCUCCUGCAGUCUGUGGUCCACAUCUGGUGCAAUAGGAUUUUUCCAUUUUCUGUGGAAGGUGAUGAAUUGUGUGCGCAAGAGCACGUCGGUGCAAAGCCGAGCAGUGAACCUCCAGCAGCAGCAGCAGCUUCAUCUACCUCUCCUCUUCUUCCCUGUUUCUCUCCUCCUCCUCCUCCUCCUCCUCCUCUUUGGAGCAGACUCUCUGGCGCCGGCGCCGUGACGUCACCACCCAUUCACAGCAGAGCCCUCUAGCCAGCCCUCGCGGCGCCGCUGAGGCGGUUUCCAUGGAGACGGGGUUUCGGGAGGUUGUCAAUCAGAGGUCGGUUCUCAGCUGAUCAACUUUGGGGCCGAACCGGGGAAGUCUUGGGUCCGCUAAGGGUUUUCUUCUUCUUCUUCUUCUCUGGUGGUGGUGGGUGGCCACACUCUCACUCCACUGUAGCCUUUACGCAUGUGAUGCUUAUUCUUUUGGGUAGAGGUUCUCAAAGUGGGGUCCGCGGACCCCCAGGGGUCGUUGAGGGGGUUCCAGGGGGUCCCCAGCAAAAAAAGGGGAAAUAAUUUAUUUUCACUAUAAUUCCAUCCAUAAGUAACAUAAUGACAGAAUUUAUGACCAAAAAAAUGAAAGUCGUAAUUAUGUUCUUUAAAAAUUUGAAUGAUCUUUAAAAUUCUGACUCACUAGUGAGAGAGACCAAACAAGGAGGAUGACUAGUAGAACAUGACAAGCAUAGCCAUCGGUGUGUGAAUGAGUAUUUAGAUUAGAUCCUGAUGGGCAAAGUUGGCACCUUAGCAGCCUCUGCCAUCAGUGU
Sebastes umbrosus (honeycomb rockfish) is the source of this 1133-nucleotide long non-coding RNA. RefSeq lists it as uncharacterized. The record is from RefSeq and is a predicted model, not a curated record. Lineage: Eukaryota; Metazoa; Chordata; Actinopteri; Perciformes; Sebastidae. The transcript has 3 exons.